Long non-coding RNA from Dromaius novaehollandiae (emu), 402 nucleotides. RefSeq lists it as uncharacterized. The record is from RefSeq and is a predicted model, not a curated record. Lineage: Eukaryota; Metazoa; Chordata; Aves; Casuariiformes; Dromaiidae. The transcript is spliced from 2 exons.
CAGGUCGCUAGGAGGGAGAAGCGGAAAACAUGCACCUGUUAGCGACCGCGCGCGGCCGGGCAGCGGCGGGCCAAGCAGGGGUUGCGGCCGGCACCCGGGCGGCUCCCCCGCGCCCCCCCGGCGCCCCCCGGCCCCUUACUCGAUGAAGAAGACGCGGCCGUCGCCGCAGACGCCGUAGGACCAGUGCUCAGCAGCUUACCGCGCUGAACGGGCUCCGCCGGGUAGCACCAGGGGCCGGCCUGCUGCGGUUACGCACAACUUGCACAAGACCAGAGGAGCAACGGAUGCCAGCUCCAAAGCCAGGAGUGUACGGCAUGGACAAGACCUGUUUCCAAGGUCUGAUAGGAAGGAGGAACAUCCUUAAAGCAAGUUAUUGUUAAAUAAAGAGCCCAGAUGACUCUC